RNAcentral lists this ribosomal RNA (253 nucleotides) under uncultured bacterium. RNAcentral's name for it is "partial 16S ribosomal RNA". It matches the Rfam family "Bacterial small subunit ribosomal RNA", at positions 524 to 776 of the family's 1533-position model. The record is from RNAcentral.
UACGUAGGGUGCAAGCGUUGUCCGGAAUUAUUGGGCGUAAAGAGCUCGUAGGCGGUUUGUCGCGUCGGCUGUGAAAACCUGGGGCUCAACCCCGAGCCUGCAGCCGAUACGGGCAAACUAGAAUUCGGUAGGGGAGACUGGAAUUCCUGGUGUAGCGGUGAAAUGCGCAGAUAUCAGGAGGAACACCGGUGGCGAAGGCGGGUCUCUGGGCCGAUAUUGACGCUGAGGAGCGAAAGCGUGGGGAGCGAACAGG